CAAUCUUGGGAAUGUUAAUGACUACGUAUAUUCGAAAUUUUAUCCGAAUUCAAACCCAAAUGUGACAGAUUUAUUCGAUACUGAACGAAUAUGAUUUCGAGUAUGAGUAGAAAAUAUUUUAUAAAAAAAACUGAUGAAUUUGGAUUCGAUAUGGAUUUUGUAUCUACCCCCUGUUAGUAAAUUCACGAAUAAUUCGCGAAUUAUUCGCGAAUUUUUGAAUAAACAAAUUAAACAACCAUUUUCGUAUUUUUUCAAAAAAAUCGAGAAAAAACACAUUUUUUUCGUCAAAAAAAAUUAUUCGCGAAUGAUUCGCUCAAAAAAACGGGCCU
Molecule: long non-coding RNA, 329 nt
Filed under: Ananas comosus (pineapple)
Lineage: Eukaryota; Viridiplantae; Streptophyta; Magnoliopsida; Poales; Bromeliaceae
Description: long non-coding RNA (ACOM_LNC016055)
Source: RNAcentral